GUUAAGCGACUAAGCGUACACGGUGGAUGCCCUGGCAGUCAGAGGCGAUGAAGGACGUGCUAAUCUGCGAAAAGCGUCGGUAAGGUGAUAUGAACCGUUACAGCCGGCGAUGUCCGAAUGGGGAAACCCAGUGUGAUUCGUCACACUAUCGUUAACUGAAUACAUAGGUUAACGAGGCGAACCGGGGGAACUGAAACAUCUAAGUACCCCGAGGAAAAGAAAUCAACCGAGAUUCCCCCAGUAGCGGCGAGCGAACGGGGAGCAGCCCAGAGUCUGAAUCAGCUUGUGUGUUAGUGGAACGGUCUGGAAAGUCCGACGGUACAGGGUGAUAGUCCCGUACACCAAAAUGCACAGGUUGUGAACUCGAAGAGUAGGGCGGGACACGUGGUAUCCUGUCUGAAUAUGGGGGGACCAUCCUCCAAGGCUAAAUACUCCUGACUGACCGAUAGUGAACCAGUACCGUGAGGGAAAGGCGAAAAGAACCCCGGCGAGGGGAGUGAAAAAGAACCUGAAACCGUGUA
This 521-nucleotide ribosomal RNA is filed under the name Klebsiella aerogenes. Its description in RNAcentral is "partial 23S ribosomal RNA". It matches the Rfam family "Bacterial large subunit ribosomal RNA", at positions 1 to 562 of the family's 2925-position model. Lineage: Bacteria; Pseudomonadati; Pseudomonadota; Gammaproteobacteria; Enterobacterales; Enterobacteriaceae. The record is from RNAcentral.